RNAcentral lists this microRNA precursor (100 nucleotides) under Chlorocebus sabaeus (green monkey). RNAcentral describes it as "miRNA (ENSCSAG00000021140.1)". The record is from RNAcentral. Lineage: Eukaryota; Metazoa; Chordata; Mammalia; Primates; Cercopithecidae.
GAGGUGGGAGGAUUGCUUGAGCCUGGGAGGUUGAGGCUACAGUGAGCUGUGAUCACGCCACUGCACUCCAGCCUGAGUGACAGGGUGAGACCUUGUCUCA